RNAcentral lists this long non-coding RNA (678 nucleotides) under Macaca mulatta (Rhesus monkey). RNAcentral describes it as "lncRNA (ENSMMUG00000052478.1)". The record is from RNAcentral. Lineage: Eukaryota; Metazoa; Chordata; Mammalia; Primates; Cercopithecidae.
AUGCAUCUGUGGUCCCAGCUACUCAGGAGGCUGAGGUGGGAAGAUCGCAUGAACCCAGGAGGUCAAGGUUGCAGUGAGCUAUCAUUGCACCACUGCACUCCAGCCUGGGCAACAGAGCAAGACCCUGUCUCUAAAACAAGAAACAAAGUGCACCAGUGUGUGGAUACCAGCUUCUCCUGGUGUGUGGACCUGACCGUACUUAGCCCCAUCGCUCUGGUGCCCUGCAGGGUCUACUUUGGAGCACCUGGAGCCCAAGAAGCUGCCCCUCACCUUUGUGAUCCCAGGGACCCCCUCCCUGAUCAUGAAGAAUGCAGACCCAAACCCACUGUGGUGCCUGAAGGAGCAGGGUCAGCCUCUGCCUCCCACAGCCUCUCUGAUGUACAGAGGAACCUGGUGCCGGCCGCAGUCAACCCCGAUGUGAUGACCUUUCUACCCACCCUCUUUGAUGUCUUGGUGCUGGCUGCUGUCUUUGGCGGCCAGGUAAGCUCAUGGUCUGUGCUCCUGGGGUCCCCUCACUGGGCCUGCCCACUGCCUGCAGGUAGGGGAGCCUACAGGCCAGGACUGUCCUUGGCUUCCCCUUGCAGGUCAUGGGUUCAAAGACCAUUCCUGGGUUCCACCACCACCAAGCCUCAACGGUGUCCUGAUGGGCACAGGAGCUGCUGGGGCUUUCUAGGUUAA